AGGAUAAACGCUGGCGGCGUGCCUAACACAUGCAAGUCGAACGUCUCUUUCUUCGGGAAGAGGAGUGGCGGACGGGUGAGGAACACGUGGGAACCUGCCCUACAGUGAGGAAUACCGGCGAGAAAUCGCCGACAAGACCGCAUAGCCCUCUCUGGUGAGAGCCAGAGAAGGAAAGCUUCGCAAGAGGCGCUGGAGGAGGGGCCUGCGUCCGAUUAGCUAGUUGGUGGGGUAAGAGCCUACCAAGGCGUCGAUCGGUAGCUGGUCUGAGAGGACGAUCAGCCACACUGGGAUUGAGAACGGCCCAGACUCCUACGGGGGCAGCAGUGAGGAAUUUUCGUCAAUGGGGGCAACCCUGAACGAGCAACGCCGCGUGCAGGAAGAAGGUUUUCGGAUCGUAAACUGCUUUUCUCGGGGAAGAGAACGGACGGUACCCGAGGAAUCGAGCCCCGGCUAACUACGUGCCAGCAGCCGC
RNAcentral lists this ribosomal RNA (472 nucleotides) under uncultured bacterium. Its description in RNAcentral is "SSU rRNA". It matches the Rfam family "Bacterial small subunit ribosomal RNA", at positions 26 to 518 of the family's 1533-position model. The record is from RNAcentral.